AUGUUUCUGUGUUAAAUGUGCUCUGUUUGUCUGCAUAAUUCUACACGAACCGUCAACGGCGGACUUGAACAGAUCGACAUGAUCGAUAUCGCAGUUGUUUGGUGCAAGAACUUAGAAUGGUACUUGAUUUUGCCUGCCCUCAUCACAAUAUAAGGGAUUUUACAUUUAAAA
Molecule: long non-coding RNA, 171 nt
Organism: Saccostrea echinata
Lineage: Eukaryota; Metazoa; Mollusca; Bivalvia; Ostreida; Ostreidae
Exons: 2
Source: RefSeq, a predicted model, not a curated record